GAUUUUUUCAACCCAAAAUGACGUCACCCGGAAGUUAUUGCUUAGCUGGCGUCAAAUAGUUUUCCACCGAUAUUCUCAUCCCAACAAACAAAUUAUUUUAGGUAACUAGGAAAUUCGUUUAAAUGUGUUUUAGAUUUUCAUUUGGAACUUUAAUGUGUUAUUUAAAUAACGCAUGGCUCAGACAAACUCUUGAGUCUUUUAAAGUGUUUGUUAUCCUAGCUUGUAAGCUAGCUAACGUUACACUAGCCAUUGUCUUGGGUUGGAAAGUGACGGCAGCUCAAUAGCCCACCAUGUCUGAACCGGGUUCUGGCUGUGGCGUUCCAGUCCAGAGAAGCUCACAGCCUGGUCCAGAGACGGUGUCAGUGAAGCUGGAGGACUGCGGUCAAAAACUGGAACUCAAUGUGAUUGUCAAAAAGGAGGAGAAGGGAGAUGUUAAAGAAGAAAAGCGCAGAAAUCAAAGAAGAUAAGGAAGAGGGGGAGAAGAGAGAGGUCCAAGUCGAAGAGGAGAGAAAUGCUGAUAUGGCUCCUCCAGGAGAGAGCUCCAACUCAGGCUCACUCAGCGAGCCCAGUACCACAGUAUCAGGAAACCACCAACAAUACCGAGGGAGGAACUCAAGGCAGAAACAUCACCACUGCUUGGACUGCUUCACUAGUUUCUGUGAGCCAGAGGAGUUGAGAAGACACACUUGUAAAGACCGCAGCCACGGUGUAACAUGUCCUCCCAAACGGAAAAAGACUUCCAGCUCCUUCUCACCAAUCCUCCCACCAGUCCUCCCACAAUUUUCUUUCAUCAUCGUGUCCACUAAUGGGGAUCCUAGUAAACAUAAAUGUUGCAGGAGGAGAAACUCCAGAUAAAAAGUCUCGGUCCCCCACCAGCCACCUGAUGUAGAAAUAACACUUCCUCAACACAGAACAAAAGGAAAGGACCCGUUCGUUCAACCCCUCGUGGUUCCAUAAGAAAUCGUGGCUGACGGCGUCUCCAAAAAAAAUACUUUGCUGCUUCCCGUGCCUUUUAUUCGGCAAAGACUUGGUCAACGGUUUCAAGGACCUGAAGCACCUCUCCGAAAGGCUUACGAAACAUGAGAGUUGUUGUACUCAUCUGGAAAACGGCAUGAAACUGGGAUUUCUAGGGAAGACUAACGCCGCUGAUCAGCUGGUCGGCGUAAACCCAAAGCUCCCAUUGAGAUACACAACAGACAAACGGAGGAGAGUAGGUACGUUUCUGGGUAGAAUUCUCAAAAGCUACGUUCUGUGCGGGAGACACAUGGCUGCGACGUGGCCGAGCGGCCUGGUCGAGUCGGAUUCCCUAAACACAUCCAUGUUUAAGUGCGUCUUUGAGGAGAGGGAGGGAGACUCCAGAGGCAUUACGACGCGCACGGCUUCUUUAAGCACCCAAGAGGCUAUGUACAAAACAAACUGUUUGACUGUAUGUACGAGGUGUACAAAGAGGCGAUUACCAAGGAGGUGUGGGCGGCUAGCUUCGUAGCGGUGCAGGUGGACGGCAUGCCGUGGACAGGGGAGGUCUCCUCCAGGGUGAUAUUGCCCCUAGCUACAGAUCUAGGAUCAGCUUCCCCAAUCCCAACUGUGACCAUUAGUGUGGAAAAUGCCAUACUGGCCCAAGAUCGGCUUCUUGGGCUAACAAUCUACUCCAGUACUCCACAGCAGGUCUCUGUCGUGCUACGGUACACGCUUCCAGACAAUACUGUCACGGAGAGGUUUUGGGAGUUUGUGGACCUAAAGGAUAAAACGGCCGCCGGUCUCACCAACGCAGUCAAGGACUCGCUGGAGCCACUGAAUCUGGAGCACAAGAUGAUUGGUCAGACGUACGACGGGGUUGCGGCGGCAGCAGUGGACGGGGCUGACGUACGCGACCUGAAACUCACCUGAAACGCACCUAUCCCAGCGCUAACUCUGUGCACUGCUACGCUCACCCGCUACGCGUCACACUCCAGCAGAUCUGCUCGGCGACAAAAGUGUUUUUUUUGCGGAUUUGUCUUUGUUUUGAAACUUUCUUCAAAGAUCAGUCAAAAGAGAGCUACAGCUGCAGGGUGGAACUGUGAGUGAGAAAUGGUCAGUGUGGUUUGGGAGAAUCGCAUUGCUCUUCUGAAGUGUGUGGAGGAUAUUAGGACACAGCCGAUGUGGGACCAGGACUCUAUCAGAGAGGCUUACGGCCUGUCAGCUAAACUCAGGGACCCCACGUUCCUACAACUACUAGAAUUGUUCUAUUUGGUCAUGCAAGAGGUGGAUGUUCUCACUGUCAACAUACACAAAAGGGAUGUUGUCGUGGCGGACAUCGAACAGGCAGUUGAUAGUUUUCGAGAAGUACGUUCAAGCCCAACAGGGGAGAGCUGAGGCCACAGCACACGUAGGCCCUGCGUCGGACAACGACAAGAGAGAGAGACGCAGAGAACUGCAGCGGUCAUGAGGAAGGCAUGUGACGUCAUCGUCACACAUGUGCAUCACAGGUUUUUCUCAAAGUAGCGACCAUUUUAAUCGCAGCCAAACUGGUGAAUCCCACGCUUUUCUCUUAAGUUCGUAGGCUGUUUCCCGUGCUCAGCCCUACAGUGUGCUGCCAAGAUAUGGUGGUUAACACUGGGAAGCUGAAGGAUGAAUUGACCUCUCUGUACCAACACACGGAGCUCCACAGGGGUACAACAGCUCCGUCAUUACUGAAAACAAUCUGCGAGCUCAACCUCCAGGAUGUUUUGUCAGAGACGGUCUCUCUUCUCAAAAUCAUCAUCACCACUCCCAUGCAGACCGCCGAGUCUGACAGAAGGUUCCCCACUCUGAAAAGAGUCCAGGUGUUGCCGUGUUCUCGGGAAAAACCUCGGGUUCCGCGGUCGCUUGGCAACAGAACAACGGCAGGCUAAAUGCACUGUCCAUGCUCUCUGUCGAGAAGGACUUCAUUCAAGCACUCAGGUCAGAUUUUCACGACUAGGUUGUUGAUAAGUUUGUCCAAAAUAAAACCUGCCCUGGAGCCUUCCUGUUUAAAUGAGCAGUACAGCAUCUGAGAAGGCUUGGGCUGUGUCUUUAUAUAGUAUAUACUGGGGGCUGAGUCUGUUUAUAGUAUAUACUGGGGGCUGAGUCUGUAUAUAGUAUAUACUGGGGCUGAGUCUGUAUAUAGUAUAUACUGGGGGCUGAGUCUGUAUAUAGUAUAUACUGGGGCUGAGUCUGUAUAUAGUAUAUACUGGGGGCUGAGUCUAUAUAUAGUAUAUACUGGGGGCUGAGUCUAUAUAUAGUAUAUACUGGGGGCUGAGUCUAUAUAUAGUAUAUACUGGGGGCUGAGUCUAUAUAUAGUAUAUACUGGGGGCUGAGUCUAUAUAUAGUAUAUACUGGGGGCUGAGUCUAUAUAUAGUAUAUACUGGGGGCUGAGUCUAUAUAUAGUAUAUACUGGGGGCUGAGUCUAUAUAUAGUAUAUACUGGGGGCUGAGUCUAUAUAUAGUAUAUACUGGGGGCUGAGUCUAUAUAUAUUAUAUACUGGGGGCUGAGUCUAUAUAUAGUAUAUACUGGGGGCUGAGAGUCCCAAAUGGCGCACUAUUCCCUCUGUAGUGCACUACAUUUGACCAUGGACCCACAAAAUAAGUCCAUAGACUCCAGUAGUAAAUAUUUUUUUAUACAUAAUUCAAAUCAGUAGAAGGUCUUUAUGUUGGCUAGGCCUUCUAUAAGUCAAUCAUUUCACCUGAUUAGCGUAAAAUAUAUAUGCUAUAGACUAUGCAGAGCCACGGUCGGGUCCAUUCGGAUCUAUCAGCUGUUGUUACGUAGACCCGAGAUGCGAUGACAAUCAAACAGGACCCGAGGGACAGGUUAGAAUCUCAGACCAGAAUGGGCCCGGGUCUCGGGUAUAUGAAGACCUCUAAUUGGCAUCCAAAGUCAACAAUAUGAGUGUGUUAUUAUGUCAUGAUCUGCUUGUAAACUGUGAAAUGUUGUCAACUAUCCUUCAACUGAAUUAUAAAUACAAACAGUUCCAACUGUCUGUGUGGCUCCUCUUCUUCACUGAAAGGGGAUUAUGUUGGUAGAUUGUCUUUAUCGAUGACAAGUCAGUAUAGUAACAUGGUGAUAAUAAAUGAAGGAUAACAGAUGCUAUACACUGACCGUUGUAAUAAUAUAACAUCACACUGCAGAUAGAAAUAUAAUGUAAUGACAGCUGUCUUGUUUUGGUUGAGAAAUCCACACUGAACAAAACUAUAAAUGCACCAUUUAAAGUGUUGGUCCCAUGAUUCAUGAGCUGAAAUAAAACAUUCCUGAAAUUUUCCAUAA
Oncorhynchus kisutch (coho salmon) is the source of this 4257-nucleotide long non-coding RNA. RefSeq lists it as uncharacterized. The transcript has 3 exons. The record is from RefSeq and is a predicted model, not a curated record. NCBI's taxonomy places the organism in Eukaryota, Metazoa, Chordata, Actinopteri, Salmoniformes, Salmonidae.